Daphnia magna is the source of this 579-nucleotide long non-coding RNA. RefSeq lists it as uncharacterized. NCBI's taxonomy places the organism in Eukaryota, Metazoa, Arthropoda, Branchiopoda, Diplostraca, Daphniidae. The transcript has 3 exons. The record is from RefSeq and is a predicted model, not a curated record.
GUUGGUCUGAAUGUCUGAAAUUUCGACGAUUUUGGGGCGGGGCACAGUGGUGGAAACUAGAAUCAGAGUCAUCUAUCGAGAGAAAACUGAGUUUUCGACGGCCAUUUUGGACGCUUUUCCUAUUGAUGUAAGAAGCUGUAAGAUGUAAAGAAGCUCUAGAAAUUCGGGAUUGGCGCCAAAAUGGUUGGCAAUUGUGCUGUUCCACAUUGUAAUUCAACAUACUAUAAAAGUGCGCAAAUAAAAAGUGGAAUUGCUUUGUUCUCCGUCCCAAAAACAGCCGUAGGAUUAUGGCAACAGCAAAUACCGUCAAUCGUUUUGACGAACAAUUCUCGUAUUUGGACGCGUCAUUUUGAUGAGAAUGACAUAAAAAGUGUUUCAUGCGUUUAAACGAUGGGUUUUGAAGGAAGGAGCCAUUCCGAGAUAUUUCCUGACACCCAAUGAAACUUCCCGACAACCAUUACAAAGCAUUUGCAAUGUGAAUAGGAGAAACAAUUCAAUAGCAAACCCUACUGUCGAUGAAAAGUGCAGGAAGCAUCCAAAUAAAGAAAGAUAUGCCUUUGCGAAGAAGAGCAGCCUAAA